Molecule: ribosomal RNA, 420 nt
Filed under: uncultured bacterium
Lineage: Bacteria
Description: bacterial SSU rRNA
Rfam family: Bacterial small subunit ribosomal RNA
Source: RNAcentral
GGAAUAUUGGUCAAUGGGCGCGAGCCUGAACCAGCCAAGUCGCGUGAGGGAAGACGGUCCUAUGGAUUGUAAACCUCUUUUGCCGGGGAGCAAAAAGCGGUACGCGUACCGCAUCGAGAGUACCCGGAGAAAAAGCAUCGGCUAACUCCGUGCCAGCAGCCGCGGUAAUACGGAAGGUCCGGGCGUUAUCCGGAUUUAUUGGGUUUAAAGGGAGCGUAGGCGGACUUUCAAGUCAGUGGUAAAAUCGUGUGGCUCAACCAUACCUCGCCAUUGAAACUGGAAGUCUGGAGUGCACACAGGGGUGCCGGAAUUCAUGGUGUAGCGGUGAAAUGCUUAGAUAUCAUGAAGAACUCCGAUCGCGAAGGCAAGUGCCCGGGGUGCAACUGACGCUGAGGCUCGAAGGUGCGGGUAUCGAACAGG